Molecule: ribosomal RNA, 501 nt
Filed under: uncultured bacterium
Lineage: Bacteria
Description: partial 16S ribosomal RNA
Rfam family: Bacterial small subunit ribosomal RNA
Source: RNAcentral
AGCGAACGCUGGCGGCAGGCUUAACACAUGCAAGUCGAGCGGGGGAAGGUAGCUUGCUACUGGACCUAGCGGCGGACGGGUGAGUAAUGCUUAGGAAUCUGCCUAUUAGUGGGGGACAACAUCUCGAAAGGGAUGCUAAUACCGCAUACGUCCUACGGGAGAAAGCAGGGGAUCUUCGGACCUUGCGCUAAUAGAUGAGCCUAAGUCGGAUUAGCUAGUUGGUGGGGUAAAGGCCUACCAGGGCGACGAUCUGUAGCGGGUCUGAGAGGAUGAUCCGCCACACUGGGACUGAGACACGGCCCAGACUCCUACGGGAGGCAGCAGUGGGGAAUAUUGGACAAUGGGGGGAACCCUGAUCCAGCCAUGCCGCGUGUGUGAAGAAGGCCUUAUGGUUGUAAAGCACUUUAAGCGAGGAGGAGGCUACUUUAGUUAAUACCUAGAGAUAGUGGACGUUACUCGCAGAAUAAGCACCGGCUAACUCUGUGCCAGCCGCCGCCGUAA